RNAcentral lists this ribosomal RNA (775 nucleotides) under uncultured Neocallimastigales. RNAcentral's name for it is "partial large subunit ribosomal RNA". It matches the Rfam family "Eukaryotic large subunit ribosomal RNA", at positions 24 to 635 of the family's 3401-position model. Lineage: Eukaryota; Fungi; Neocallimastigomycota; Neocallimastigomycetes; Neocallimastigales. The record is from RNAcentral.
UAUGUGAUCGUCUCUCGCAUAUCAAUAAGCGGAGGAAAAGAAACUAACAAGGAUUCCCCUAGUAACGGCGAGUGAAGCGGGAAGAGCUCAAAUUUGAAAUCUUAAAGGGUUUCCCUUUACGAAUUGUAGUUUAAAGAAGUGUUUUCUGUUGAGGUUUUGGUAAAAGUUCUUUGGAAUAGGACAUCAUAGAGGGUGAGAAUCCCGUAUUUGACCUUUACUUUCAACUUUGUGAUACACUUUCAAAGAGUCGGAUUGUUUGGGAAUGCAGUCCAAAAUGGGUGGUAAAUUUCAUCUAAAGCUAAAUAUUGGCGAGAGACCGAUAGCGAACAAGUACCGUGAGGGAAAGAUGAAAAGAACUUUGAAAAGAGAGUUAAACAGUACGUGAAAUUGUCAAAAGGGAAGCGUUUGACACCAGUGUUGUUUUUCUGAAAAUCAAUUAAAGAACUGUUUAUGCUAAGCUGUUUAGACUUUAUCAGCUAAUCUGUUUAGUUUUGAGCUUUUCUUUAAUGCACUUUUCAGUUAACAAGUCAACAUCAAUUUCUUUUGCUGUAAAAAAGCUUGAGGAAGGUGGCUUGAGAUUCGUCUUAAGUGUUUAUAGCCUCUUGCCUAUGCAGUCGGAGAGAUUGAGGUCUGCAGCGUAGAUCCUUCGGGGCUAAAUGCAUUUGUGCUAAGUUAUAGCAUUUUAUAGACAACUUGUUGACUAUGAUUUGUCUUGUAGCUUACUCGCUUAUGUUAUUUUACCUACGCUUAGGAUGUUGAUCUACAGAGCGAGAGU